RNAcentral lists this ribosomal RNA (253 nucleotides) under uncultured bacterium. RNAcentral describes it as "partial 16S ribosomal RNA". It matches the Rfam family "Bacterial small subunit ribosomal RNA", at positions 524 to 776 of the family's 1533-position model. The record is from RNAcentral.
UACGUAGGGUGCAAGCGUUGUCCGGAAUUAUUGGGCGUAAAGAGCUCGUAGGCGGUUUGUCGCGUCGGCUGUGAAAACUCGGGGCUCAACCCCGAGCCUGCAGUCGAUACGGGCAGACCAGAGUGCUGUAGGGGAGACUGGAAUUCCUGGUGUAGCGGUGAAAUGCGCAGAUAUCAGGAGGAACACCGGUGGCGAAGGCGGGUCUCUGGGCAGUAACUGACGCUGAGGAGCGAAAGCGUGGGGAGCGAACAGG